GACGAACGCUGGCGGCGUGCUUAACACAUGCAAGUCGAACGAAAAGACGGAAAGAGCUUGCUCUUUUCAGAAUUGAGUGGCAAACGGGUGAGUAACACGUAAACAACCUGCCUUCAGGAUGGGGACAACAGACGGAAACGACUGCUAAUACCGAAUAAGUUCCAAGAGCCGCAUGGCCCAUGGAAGAAAAGGUGGCCUCU
RNAcentral lists this ribosomal RNA (200 nucleotides) under uncultured bacterium. RNAcentral describes it as "partial 16S ribosomal RNA". It matches the Rfam family "Bacterial small subunit ribosomal RNA", at positions 28 to 216 of the family's 1533-position model. The record is from RNAcentral.